GUUUUAUCGUUCCAAGAACUUCGCCGGUGAUCGCUAUCGUUAUCAUUUUAGAAGGUGAUUUGCUGGGCUAUUUUUUGCUCCUGCGUCACCAUUGCGUGCACAUAAGCUCGUUCAUCAAUUUCUGAUAAAAUAGUUUCGGCGCAGCUAAUCGCUUUAAGCGCUGGCCUUGUUAAAAUGAUGGAUAGUUUGUCACGAGUACAAUGACAUGAUGCAAUAUUGCGAAAUAAUGCUGCAGCAUUAAAAAAUAACAUGCAAUGUUUCUACAUCAGUUGUUUUUUUUUAUGUAAAUUGUUUAAAUAUGGGGAGAAAAAGGAGAGCACGAGGCUCGGUUAGUUGUUGGUUAUGGUAUUUUUGGGGUGACAAAAAACGUGGAUCACUGUGGGUCCGGUUCCCCGGUCAGAGCUGAGGUUCCGGUUUCUAAGAAGGAGGCUGACCCUUCUCCUUAAAGGAUCUUGGGGCGCAGUGAUACGCCCUUCAGAUCCUACUGUGUUAACCUUCGCUGUUACUCCGUGGAAGAGAGCGCACGAGCGAAAAGGUGAGAGAACAAAGGAUCUGGUUUGAUGUUCGCUCGGUCUAGUGGAGCUCGAUCCUCGGCCGUCAGAUGUCGCUGCUCCCCCUUCUUAGGUGAUGGCUUCCAGUAGGCUGUCGAUGGCGUCUUUGUACUGUUGUCUCCUUCGUUGAGCUUCCACUCUGUGUCUGAAAUAAAUCUGUGCUUUUGUCUUGUUAA
Non-coding RNA from Ciona intestinalis (vase tunicate), 727 nucleotides. The record is from RefSeq and is a predicted model, not a curated record. NCBI's taxonomy places the organism in Eukaryota, Metazoa, Chordata, Ascidiacea, Phlebobranchia, Cionidae.